GCCGGCUUAGCUCAGUCGGUAGAGCACCUGAUUUGUAAUCAGGGGGUCGGGGGUUCGAAUCCCUCAGCCGGCACCA
RNAcentral lists this transfer RNA (76 nucleotides) under Hyphomicrobiales bacterium. RNAcentral describes it as "tRNA-Thr". It matches the Rfam family "tRNA". Rfam says of the family: Transfer RNA (tRNA) molecules are approximately 80 nucleotides in length. Their secondary structure includes four short double-helical elements and three loops (D, anti-codon, and T loops). Lineage: Bacteria; Pseudomonadati; Pseudomonadota; Alphaproteobacteria; Hyphomicrobiales. The record is from RNAcentral.